UUUUUAAUUAUAAAUUUGGUCCUUUCGUACUAAAAUUUAUUAACUAUAUAAAGAUAGAAACCAACCUGGCUUACACCGGUUUAAACUCAGAUCAUGUAAAGUUUUAAUGGUCGAACAGACCAAAUUUUUAAGCUCCUACACCUAAAAUUUACUUUAAUCCAACAUCGAGGUCGCAAUCUCUUUUUUCGAUUUGAACUCUAAAAAAAAAUAACGCUGUUAUCCCUAAGGUAAUUUAUUCUUUUAAUCAUUUUUAUGGAUCAAAUAUUCAUAAAUCUAUGUAAUAAUAUAAAAAAAGUUUAUUUAAUUUUUCAGUCACCCCAACCAAAUUAUAUUAAAAAUUAAAAUUUUUAAAUUCUAAAAAUUUAAAAAAUUAAUAUAAUAAAACUCUAUAGGGUCUUCUCGUCUAUUAAAAAAAUUUAAGCUUUUUAACUUAAAAAUAAAAUUUUUAAAAAUUUAAAUAUAGAAAGUUAUUUUCUCAUCAAACCAUUCAUACAAGCUUUCAAUUAAAAAACUAAUGAUUAUGCUACCUUUGCACAGUCAAAAUACUGCGGCCCUUUAAUACUUCAGUGGGCAGGCCCUACUUUAAAUUAUUUUC
RNAcentral lists this ribosomal RNA (595 nucleotides) under Coccinella septempunctata brucki. RNAcentral's name for it is "partial 16S ribosomal RNA". Lineage: Eukaryota; Metazoa; Arthropoda; Insecta; Coleoptera; Coccinellidae. The record is from RNAcentral.